ACGCUGGCGGUAUGCCUAAGACAUGCAAGUCGCACGGACUGUUUCGGCAGUUAGUGGCGGACGGGUGAGUAACACGUAGGUGACCUACCCCAAAGUCUGGGACAACUAGGAGAAAUCUUAGCUAAUCCUGGAUGUGAACCUCAGCUGUGGCUGAUGUUUAAAGCUUCGGCGCUUUGGGAUGGGCCUGCGGCGCAUCAGGUAGUUGGUGGGGUAACGGCCCACCAAGCCGACGACGCGUAGCUGGUCUGAGAGGACGACCAGCCACAGGGGUACUGAGACACGGACCCCACUCCUACGGGAGGCAGCAGUUAGGAAUCUUCCGCAAUGGGCGAAAGCCUGACGGAGCGAUACCGCUUGAAGGACGAAGCCCUUCGGGGUGUAAACUUCUGAACUCGGGACGAUAAUGACGGUACCGAGGUAAUAGCACCGGCUAACUCCGUGCCAGCAGCCGCGGUAAUACGGAGGGUGCGAGCGUUACCCGGAUUUACUGGGUGUAAAGGGCGUGUAG
This 508-nucleotide ribosomal RNA is filed under the name uncultured bacterium. Its description in RNAcentral is "bacterial SSU rRNA". It matches the Rfam family "Bacterial small subunit ribosomal RNA", at positions 33 to 574 of the family's 1533-position model. The record is from RNAcentral.